AGCAGCCGCGGUAAUUCCAGCUCCAAUAGCGUAUAUUAAAGUUGUUGCAGUUAAAAAGCUCGUAGCUGAAUUUCGGGAUCAGCAGGUUGGUCUUGCCACUGGUAUGUACUAGCUUGCUGAUUCCUUCUUCUUGUAGAACCGUAAUGCCAUUAAUUUGGUGUUGCGGGGAAACAGGACUGUUACUUUGAAAAAUUAGAGUGUUUAAAGCAGGCUAACGCUUGAAUACAUUAGCAUGGAAUAAUGAAUAGGACGUUCGAUCCUAUUUUGUUGGUUUCUAGGAUUGACGUAAUGAUUAAUAGGGAUAGUUGGGGCAUUAGUAUUCAAUUGUCAGAGGUGAAAUUCUUGGAUUUAUUGAAGACUAACUACUGCGAAAGCAUUUGCCAAGGAUGUUUCAUUAAUCAAGAACGAAGUUAGGGAUCGAAGACGAU
RNAcentral lists this ribosomal RNA (428 nucleotides) under uncultured Glomus. RNAcentral's name for it is "SSU rRNA". It matches the Rfam family "Eukaryotic small subunit ribosomal RNA", at positions 569 to 1008 of the family's 1831-position model. The record is from RNAcentral. Lineage: Eukaryota; Fungi; Glomeromycota; Glomeromycetes; Glomerales; Glomeraceae.